GCUAAUGUAGCUUAACCAAAGCAUAACACUGAAGAUGUUAAGAUGGGCCCUAGAAAGCCCCAUAAGCA
RNAcentral lists this transfer RNA (68 nucleotides) under Cynoglossus puncticeps (speckled tonguesole). RNAcentral describes it as "tRNA-Phe". It matches the Rfam family "tRNA". Rfam says of the family: Transfer RNA (tRNA) molecules are approximately 80 nucleotides in length. Their secondary structure includes four short double-helical elements and three loops (D, anti-codon, and T loops). Further hydrogen bonds mediate the characteristic L-shaped molecular structure. tRNAs have two regions of fundamental functional importance: the anti-codon, which is responsible for specific mRNA codon recognition, and the 3' end, to which the tRNAs corresponding amino acid is attached (by aminoacyl-tRNA synthetases). tRNAs cope with the degeneracy of the genetic code in two manners: having more than one tRNA (with a specific anti-codon) for a particular amino acid; and 'wobble' base-pairing, i.e. permitting non-standard base-pairing at the 3rd anti-codon position. The record is from RNAcentral. Lineage: Eukaryota; Metazoa; Chordata; Actinopteri; Pleuronectiformes; Cynoglossidae.